This 223-nucleotide long non-coding RNA is filed under the name Lupinus angustifolius (narrow-leaved blue lupine). RNAcentral's name for it is "long non-coding RNA (LANG_LNC001153)". Lineage: Eukaryota; Viridiplantae; Streptophyta; Magnoliopsida; Fabales; Fabaceae. The record is from RNAcentral.
GAAGGUUUAAUUCCAUAUGUUAUUCAUGCAAUAAAAAAGCAAAAGCAAGGGAACAUUAUGGACCAAAAUUUAAGUCCUCAAAAUUCAGAUAGCUCAAACCGUAGCUACCAUUUGCUUUUGACUUCUGAUUCCUUCAAUGGUAAUUCUCCUCGCAUAGGAACAAUAGGUUCAGUUUCUACUACUCCUUCUUCUCCUUCAAUCAUCAAUGUUGCCACUACUACCA